RNAcentral lists this long non-coding RNA (1009 nucleotides) under Equus caballus (horse). Its description in RNAcentral is "lncRNA (ENSECAG00000047456.1)". The record is from RNAcentral. Lineage: Eukaryota; Metazoa; Chordata; Mammalia; Perissodactyla; Equidae.
GUUUUCCUCGUAAUGUUCCUUCAAAUAUUGCAUCUCCCUGAGGCCUUUCCUCUCCAGAUUAAUUGUUCUCUUGUCAUGCAGGUUUAUCUUUGAUGGACAUGAUUUCCUAGACUUUCACUACCCUGUUCAUCCUCCUUUCAAUGUAUUCUCAUUGGCGAUCUCUCCCUUCAAACAAUCCAGAACUGAAUGCAGUACUGCAGGUGUGAUCUAUCCAUGUGAUGCCCAGAAGGCUGAUUUAUUCAUUGACCUGGAAUCCCUCACUCAGUUCUAUUAUUACAGCCUAAGUCAGCGUUUUCUACUGUGAUCUGAUGCAUUUCCUGUUAGAGUAGAAUGACCUUAUAGUCUUUUUCAGAUGAAUUACUAUUAAUCUAGUUCUCUUCCACUGUGUAACAUUUCAUUUUGUUAGUUUACCUUUCUGAUCCGGGGUGAUGAUUGUGUUGGUUGGUAUCUCUUUAUAGCAAUUCUAUCAACAAAGCAAAUUGGUAACCUUGUUAGUUUUCAGUCAUUUAUCAAUUUGAAACUGUGCUUUCUUCCAUUAAGCUAAAUAAAAACUUUCUGAGAAGAGCGAUUGAAGCUGAAGGAAACUCACUCUUCAGUCGCUAUACUAGGAAAUGGGAAUGAAGUCGCUCAGCCCUGUUCUCAACUUUAUUUACUCUAAACGGCAUUCUAUAAAAAGCUGCAAAACCAAGGGGUCUGAGAUCUGACACCUGAAAUGGCUGCAAUCAUUCAAAGGCACCCCUUUUCCUAUCCCUUGCUGAUUGACCCCCUCCUAUUGUGCCUUUCAAUACAUAGCCUACAACUCUAUAUUUAGGGCAAUGACCAGCCAUCCACACAGGCUCCAAACACUUCUCACUCUUCUCUAGGAUAGCUUCCCCUGUGAGUUUGGUGUUAGACUGAGAAGGAUUAUGUUCCUCUCUCACCUCGACCGCCUAUUGUGUGACAUUAUACUCUUUCCUGGAACUUUCUGUUGUUUCAUGCCCUAUAAAAUAAUAAACAAUGGUGACAGCUA